Molecule: RNA transcript, 2673 nt
Organism: Cyanidioschyzon merolae strain 10D
Lineage: Eukaryota; Rhodophyta; Bangiophyceae; Cyanidiales; Cyanidiaceae
Exons: 1
Source: RefSeq, a predicted model, not a curated record
CUACUGGUCAUGAACAUAAGCCCCUGGAGACUGUUUCUGCGAAUGCUUCAUUUAUCCCUUGCUCUCUCCUGACCGUCCAGCUCCAUUUAGCGCAGUAGAAAGAUGUCGAUCGCGGCGUUAGUCUCGAUUUUGACGAUCCUAGCUGUUGCUCAUGCAUUUUAGGCAGGGGCAAACGUUGCACUCUACGCUUUGCGUGCCAGUUCUGUCCUGUUUGCGCGGUGCCUCGGUAAGCCGUUCGAAGCGGUGUCACUUGGCGUCGGUCAGGUGUUCGCAUAGGUCCAGCGUAUCCCACCUGCGGCCAGCGUAGUCCUGUGGCGCACGAGCGCUUGCGUCAUCGCUCGCUACAUGCCGUUGACGGGUGCUGAAGGCUCUGCGCUCGAUGCUCUCCUCGGGUUCCGGGCUCGGUGCUGUACGCUAUGAUCACGGUCUGCUUGGGGCGUUCCGGCGGGGAGUAAGCUGCUGGUCGCCCGCGCAAGUGCACGCUGGCCCAUGCUGUGCAUGUCUUGUGGAACGCGAUGUUGCCCAUGGCGAUAUCAGUAACGAAAGGGAAACCCAGGCUGGAUGUUAGGCAGAGAAAUUCGAUUUCUCCGUGCCGAAUUUGCGCAGACUGGUGAUGCAUGCUCUAUGGGAAGUGAUCGCUGCGAUGGCUCAAGUCUGGGUCCGAGACCCAUUUCUAUGGAAACAAAAGAGAUGGGAUUGUCUGGAAGCGUAUCCCCUGAGAGGAGUCAUGCUGCCGCGGAAUGCUGUAUCGUUGACUGCCACAGCGAGGAGGAUAUGGAUUUCGAACGGACUCGAUUGUUUCACCUGACAAGUUCUAUGAACUAUCGCCAUGAGCUAGUUGAGAAGUCGUCAAGUGACGACGACGACGACGUGUUUCGUUUCGCCGUCGAUUUGGCGGCGCAAGUUGCCUUACCUACGAGUUACCUUGAAAUGGAAAGAUUGAAAACAUGAGGCACGCGCGACUUGACCAUGGUACGCGUCACUAGAGGAGAAGCUUGUAGACUUGUACGUAUGCAUUGGAUGAUGGUGUCAGUUUUUUAGGAAUUCGUGUUUGAGAGCGUCGCGAAACACCUCGAUUCCAGUGACGUAACGAGUUCGAAACGCAACUCAUCGAAAAAGUCACUUCGAAAAGGCGGCCACAAAUCCUAGAACAACGCACGAAUCCGUAAGCUCUUAUUGCUGCCCGCUACAUGCCGAGGCUUUACAUGUAAAUAAAGCUCGGAACAAAUCGCAAGACAGGAACAGAGCGAGCAGUUCAGUGUUCCAUGUGAAUCUGACAUGAAUGCAGGCAACGCAUGCACAAAGGAUGCCAGUUGCGAUUCAGGGACAUGAGCAUGUAUCAGCGUAUAUCUCAUGGUUUCACCAACACAGUUCAUUCACUGCAUUUUGAUUGCAUUUCAAAGGGUACCUGAAAAUCAUCUGCUCGUCGUGGAGAACCCUCAUUAGCGUUCGGUACUGUGGGCUUCGACUGCUGCGCACUAUCGCGGUAUCGACGCUGGAAAACAAGCAAGGCGCUCAUUUUCGCGGGCUGCAUGGCUUUCCUCUCGCAAUGUCUGGACUCGUGGUUCGCUUGUACCCGACGUUUCCGUGGCCAUAUCCGGGCACUGGACAUCGACAAGGAUCGACAUGCAUCGUGCGAUGGUCGGGUUCCAGCCUCCAUGAAUGCAGCUGCACUGACGGCCAUGGGCGAUCACAACUGGCUUGGCUGGCUGGCUGGCUGGCUGGCGGGCGGGCGGGCUGGCAGGGUGUCCACAUGACGUUCUCGACCCUCAAAUUUAAGUUCCGACACGCCCAGAGCUCCGUUUCCCUGCGAAAUAUAUAUGCUUCCCUGAAUGCAUGUAACAUAGCGCUCUCAAACCGACGCCCUCAAGCGUACGGAGAAACCGCUCUGUCUCAGUACCGUGUCCGUCCGUAGCUGCGCGACAGGCGCCUUCCUCAUAGAUCACCGAACGAUUCGAACACGGAACCCGGUUCGAACGAACUGGUAACUCCACUGUGCACGAUGGGUAACGGUUCGUAAUAUUCGAUGGCAUGAUGUAGAAUAACGGAUGUCGUUGUUUCCCUUGAUACCGAUAAGCGUCGACCAGUUGCGGAUCCCCGGUUCGAUGCACCAAUUCUACGCCAAAAACAGCGUCUGCAUCAUGUCACGUGUGACAUCCCCAUAGGCGCCCCCAGGGCCACUGCCAUCGGAAAAGAACGCGUAUCGAUCGCUCGAUGCAUUCGACCUGUCUGCAGGUGGCGCACCGCACGAAAGGUGGGGUUUCAGCGGCUCUCCAGUUUAGAGGACCGGAGGGCAGCGCCCUUUCCUGACGCCAUGUACGGAUCCAUACGCGGGAGGUGCCUCUAAGCUCCGCCACUGCCUGGUUGCGGAGGCGCUGCGGCCUUUGUUGAACGCAGGCAGGGCGAAAAACGAACACACCCCAUGCCUUUUACUUGCGGUGUCCGGGCGGAGUUUAGUGAGGACCGGUGUUGGCAGGGAGCUUUCGGAAGCUUUUUCUGCAUGAGACACAGUGUUCACAGGGCCUCCUCGUUACUUGGAUUCGUAUGUGGACCGGGACUGGGCGCCAGAGCGAAACUCGAGCUGUCGAGCACGCGCUGCCUGUAAAGUUUGCCUGCUCCCCAGCAGAAUCGUCUUUGGACGACCGGCUUGAGGGAGUAUAUGGAAUUUUUCGU